Molecule: ribosomal RNA, 422 nt
Filed under: uncultured bacterium
Lineage: Bacteria
Description: bacterial SSU rRNA
Rfam family: Bacterial small subunit ribosomal RNA
Source: RNAcentral
UCUUCCGCAAUGGACGAAAGUCUGACGGAGCAACGCCGCGUGCGUGAUGAAGGUUUUCGGAUCGUAAAACUCCGUUGGUAGGGAAGAACAAGUACCGUUCGAAUAGGGCGUUACCUUGACGGUACCUAACCAGAAAGCCACGGCUAACUACGUGCCAGCAGCCGCGGUAAUACGUAGGUGGCAAGCGUUGUCCGGAAUUAUUGGGCGUAAAGGGCGCGCAGGCGGUUGCUUAAGUCGGAUGUGAAAGCCCCCGGCUCAACCGGGGAGGGGCAUUGGAAACUGGGGAACUUGAGUGCAGAAGAGGAGAGUGGAAUUCCACGUGUAGCGGUGAAAUGCGUAGAGAUGUGGAGGAACACCAGUGGCGAAGGCGACUCUCUGGUCUGUAACUGACGCUGAGGAGCGAAAGCGUGGGGAGCGAACAG